UGGGGAAUUUUGCGCAAUGGGGGCAACCCUGACGCAGCAACGCCGCGUGCGGGACGACGGCCUUCGGGUUGUAAACCGCUUUCAGCAGGGAAGAAAUUCGACGGUACCUGCAGAAGAAGCUCCGGCUAACUACGUGCCAGCAGCCGCGGUAAUACGUAGGGAGCGAGCGUUAUCCGGAUUCAUUGGGCGUAAAGAGCGCGUAGGCGGCCUCUCAAGCGGGAUCUCUAAUCCGAGGGCUCAACCCCCGGCCGGAUCCCGAACUGGGAGGCUCGAGUUCGGUAGAGGCAGGCGGAAUGCCCGGUGGAGCGGUGGGAUGCGCAGAUAUCGGGAAGAACACCGAUGGCGAAGGCAGCCUGCUGGGCCGCAACUGACGCUGCGGCGCGAAAGCUAGGGGAGCGAACAGG
Molecule: ribosomal RNA, 404 nt
Filed under: bacterium
Lineage: Bacteria
Description: partial 16S ribosomal RNA
Rfam family: Bacterial small subunit ribosomal RNA
Source: RNAcentral